Molecule: non-coding RNA, 71 nt
Organism: Sphaerobolus stellatus SS14
Lineage: Eukaryota; Fungi; Basidiomycota; Agaricomycetes; Geastrales; Sphaerobolaceae
Source: the annotation of a GenBank genome assembly
CGUUUGCUACUGUAGUUGGUAGCGCAUUCGCUUCACGCGAGAGGUCGUCGGUUCGAGCCCGGCGUGAGCUA